CCUUUGGAGUGUUAUAUCAAACAAAAGUAAUAUUUUAAUAAUAUGAAAUUGGAUACUAUGAAUAAGGAA
This 69-nucleotide non-coding RNA is filed under the name unclassified sequences. RNAcentral's name for it is "RAGATH-18 RNA". It matches the Rfam family "RAGATH-18 RNA". Rfam says of the family: Actinobacteria, Firmicutes, Fusobacteria, Thermotogae (1 example). Nearby to self-cleaving ribozyme genes The record is from Rfam by way of RNAcentral.